GACGAACGCUGGCGGCGUGCCUAAUACAUGCAAGUAGAACGCUGAAGGGAGGAGCUUGCUCUUCUUGGAUGAGUUGCGAACGGGUGAGUAACGCGUAGGUAACCUGCCUUGUAGCGGGGGAUAACUAUUGGAAACGAUAGCUAAUACCGCAUAACAAUGGAUGACCCAUGUCAUUUAUUUGAAAGGGGCAAAUGCUCCACUACAAGAUGGACCUGCGUUGUAUUAGCUAGUAGGUGAGGUAACGGCUCACCUAGGCGACGAUACAUAGCCGACCUGAGAGGGUGAUCGGCCACACUGGGACUGAGACACGGCCCAGACUCCUACGGGAGGCAGCAGUAGGGAAUCUUCGGCAAUGGGGGCAACCCUGACCGAGCAACGCCGCGUGAGUGAAGAAGGUUUUCGGAUCGUAAAGCUCUGUUGUAAGUCAAGAACGAGUGUGAGAGUGGAAAGUUCACACUG
Molecule: ribosomal RNA, 459 nt
Filed under: Streptococcus salivarius
Lineage: Bacteria; Bacillati; Bacillota; Bacilli; Lactobacillales; Streptococcaceae
Description: bacterial SSU rRNA
Rfam family: Bacterial small subunit ribosomal RNA
Source: RNAcentral